This 494-nucleotide ribosomal RNA is filed under the name Starmerella bacillaris. RNAcentral's name for it is "partial large subunit ribosomal RNA". It matches the Rfam family "Eukaryotic large subunit ribosomal RNA", at positions 66 to 668 of the family's 3401-position model. The record is from RNAcentral. Lineage: Eukaryota; Fungi; Ascomycota; Dipodascomycetes; Dipodascales; Trichomonascaceae.
CCCCGGGCAUGUCUAGUACGGCGAGUGACAGGCAGAGCUCAGAUUUGAAAGGCACUUUUGUGCCGUUGUAUUCUGAAGUUAGGGUCCUGAGAAACGAUGCUUAAGUCUUCUGGAAAGGAGCGCCAUGGAGGGUGAUAGCCCCGUCUAGCAUUGACCUCAUAUAGGAUCUUAACAUGGAGUCGAGUUGUUUGGGAAUGCAGCUCAAAUGGGUGGUAUGCUCCAUCUAAAGCUAAAUAUCUGCGAGAGACCGAUAGUAAACAAGUACUGUGAGGGAAAGAUGAAAAGAACUUUGAAAAGAGAGUGAAAAAGUACGUGAAAUUGUUGAAAUGGAAGGGUAGGCCGCUAACCAUGUAGAGCCGUGUUUGGGGGGAAGAUAAAUGCUGUAGAAUGUAGCUCCUCGGAGUAUUAUAGAUGCAGUUCAUAUUCCCACCCGAGCGCGAGGAUCUCAGGUUCUACUAAAUGGUGGUCUACCACCCGUCUUGAAACACGGACCA